Molecule: long non-coding RNA, 1044 nt
Organism: Gallus gallus (chicken)
Lineage: Eukaryota; Metazoa; Chordata; Aves; Galliformes; Phasianidae
Source: Ensembl
CGUGUCCUUCAGCAAGUUCACAGUCAAUGCCAAAUUUGGAGAAGUAGUCUCACAGGGCAGGGCCUUGGACAGACAUCAACAGGCUGGAAAAAUGGCCCAACAAGAACCAUACAGAGUUCAAAAGCAAAAAAAUACAGGUUGAAGGAUUGAAGAACCUCAUAUUCCAGGACUGACAGGAAGGCGACUUGGGAGAAACAGAUCUCAGCGUCCUGGUGGGCAGCAAACUGAACGUGUCAGCAAUACACCCUUGCAGCAAAGGACCCUGGGCUGUACUAACAGUAUAGCCAGCAGAUGAAGGGAAGUGCUUCUUCCCUUCUGUUUGGUUUAUGGGAGACCACAUCCAGAGUGUUACGUUCAGUCUGGGGUUUGUUCUAAGCAUUGAUGUACAAAAGUGAGUCCACAGAGAUUCACCAUGACGAUCAGGGGCUGGAGUACAUUAUGUAGAUGGGGAGGCCAAACAAAUUGAGACUUAAAGGGCUUGGAGGAGAUCUUGGUGCAGUCUCCAACUACCUGCCAGGAUGGUACAGAGCGCAGAGCCAGCCUGCCCUCAGAGGUGCACAAUAAUAGAAUAAGACGAAACUCACAAAAGGUGCAACACAAAAAAAUUUCAACUGUCUAUUAUGAAAAAUGUUUUACCUUGAGGAGGGCCACAAAAAUAAUCCAAGAGAUGGAACACCUGUCCUAUGAGGACAGGCUGAAAGAGCUGGGGCUGUUCAGCCUGGAGAAGAGAAGGCAAACCUGAGAGCAGCCUUUCAGUAUCUGAAGGGGAGUUACAGGAAAGAGGGGGACGGACUCCUUAGCGGAGUCUAUGGCUUUAAAGUCCCUUCCUACUCUAAGGAUUCUAUGAUUCUAUGAGGAUGGUCAAACACUCAAACAGAUUGCUCAGGGAAGUGGUGGCAUCUUCACCCUUGGAGAUGUUUAGCAAUCAACUGGCCGAAGCCCUGAGCAAUCUGUUAUAAUUGGAGCUGCCUUUACAUUGGACCAGAUGAUUGCUUUUCAGAAUUCCUUUCCAACCUAGAUUUCUCCUUGGUAGCAUUUCUAAAU